AGAAUUUUUUGAACUAGUUUGUAAAAUAUUUGUAAAUGUUUUAGAAUUUUUUUUUUUUUUGAGAGAAAGGUAGGAUGCUACCCGCUUCGUUUAUUUCAUUUAGAAAAAAAUUUAGCUGAAAAUAUGAAUCAACUAGGAUUCGAACUUGGGUCUCGAAUACCAACCAGCAAGCUCUUUUGCCACUCGUGCCAGCGACGGUACGGUAAUGUUUUAGAAAGUUGGGGGAGUAUUG
Molecule: long non-coding RNA, 232 nt
Filed under: Ananas comosus (pineapple)
Lineage: Eukaryota; Viridiplantae; Streptophyta; Magnoliopsida; Poales; Bromeliaceae
Description: long non-coding RNA (ACOM_LNC033963)
Source: RNAcentral